Long non-coding RNA from Malus domestica (apple), 484 nucleotides. RefSeq lists it as uncharacterized. The record is from RefSeq and is a predicted model, not a curated record. Lineage: Eukaryota; Viridiplantae; Streptophyta; Magnoliopsida; Rosales; Rosaceae.
AAAGAUGGGUUGUCACUCGUCAAUCAUAAUUUGCAGGGUUAAAGUGCUAAUUAUUCCUGGCUCUGCGCCCAGACUUCUCUGAAUCUUUGCAGGCUAGGCUGUUUGUUUCCUUUUAGUCUUGUAGGUUUACUGCUUUGUUGCCUCUGUUGUCGACCUUGUUUCCUUGCAAUUUCUCAGUAAUUUGGGGCUCUACUCUUGUUGUCCUUAGGUUUAGCACAUUAAACCGGUUUGUUAAUGCAGAUUGUUGUAAGGGGAUCUUCUUCAUUGCAGGAAUAAGGGGAUCUUCUUCAUUGCAAUUGAUGUAAACAAGCCACUUUCAGAUCAAGGACCCUUUGAUGUUGUUUUGCAUAAGGUAAGUGUACCAGAGAAGUGGGGCUACUCUGUUGAUUGGAAGAAAGUACUAGUCUUCUUCUUUGGAACCCAAUAAAUGUAAGUACUUAAUAGUUAAUAGAUCCGCACGUUUUUCUUUUAACUAGUUUUUCUU